GAUGAACGCUGGCGGCGUGCCCAAUACAUGCAAGUCGAGCGAACGGACGAGAAGCUUGCUUCUCUGAUGUUAGCGGCGGACGGGUGAGUAACACGUGGAUAACCUACCUAUAAGACUGGGAUAACUUCGGGAAACCGGAGCUAAUACCGGAUAAUAUUUUGAACCGCAUGGUUCAAAAGUGAAAGACGGUCUUGCUGUCACUUAUAGAUGGAUCCGCGCUGCAUUAGCUAGUUGGUAAGGUAACGGCUUACCAAGGCAACGAUGCAUAGCCGACCUGAGAGGGUGAUCGGCCACACUGGAACUGAGACACGGUCCAGACUCCUACGGGAGGCAGCAGUAGGGAAUCUUCCGCAAUGGGCGAAAGCCUGACGGAGCAACGCCGCGUGAGUGAUGAAGGUCUUCGGAUCGUAAAACUCUGUUAUUAGGGAAGAACAUAUGUGUAAGUAACUGUGCACAUCUUGACGGUACCUAAUCAGAAAGCCACGGCUAACUACGUGCCAGCAGCCGCGGUAAUACGUAGGUGGCAAGCGUUAUCCGGAAUUAUUGGGCGUAAAGCGCGCGUAGGCGGUUUUUUAAGUCUGAUGUGAAAGCCCACGGCUCAACCGUGGAGGGUCAUUGGAAACUGGAAAACUUGAGUGCAGAAGAGGAAAGUGGAAUUCCAUGUGUAGCGGUGAAAUGCGCAGAGAUAUGGAGGAACACCAGUGGCGAAGGCGACUUUCUGGUCUGUAACUGACGCUGAUGUGCGAAAGCGUGGGGAUCAAACAGGAUUAGAUACCCUGGUAGUCCACGCCGUAAACGAUGAGUGCUAAGUGUUAGGGGGUUUCCGCCCCUUAGUGCUGCAGCUAACGCAUUAAGCACUCCGCCUGGGGAGUACGACCGCAAGGUUGAAACUCAAAGGAAUUGACGGGGACCCGCACAAGCGGUGGAGCAUGUGGUUUAAUUCGAAGCAACGCGAAGAACCUUACCAAAUCUUGACAUCCUUUGACAACUCUAGAGAUAGAGCUUUCCCCUUCGGGGGACAAAGUGACAGGUGGUGCAUGGUUGUCGUCAGCUCGUGUCGUGAGAUGUUGGGUUAAGUCCCGCAACGAGCGCAACCCUUAAGCUUAGUUGCCAUCAUUAAGUUGGGCACUCUAAGUUGACUGCCGGUGACAAACCGGAGGAAGGUGGGGAUGACGUCAAAUCAUCAUGCCCCUUAUGAUUUGGGCUACACACGUGCUACAAUGGACAAUACAAAGGGCAGCGAAACCGCGAGGUCAAGCAAAUCCCAUAAAGUUGUUCUCAGUUCGGAUUGUAGUCUGCAACUCGACUACAUGAAGCUGGAAUCGCUAGUAAUCGUAGAUCAGCAUGCUACGGUGAAUACGUUCCCGGGUCU
This 1372-nucleotide ribosomal RNA is filed under the name uncultured bacterium. RNAcentral's name for it is "bacterial SSU rRNA". It matches the Rfam family "Bacterial small subunit ribosomal RNA", at positions 28 to 1381 of the family's 1533-position model. The record is from RNAcentral.